UACAGAGACUGCAAGCGUUAUUCGGAUUCACUGGGCGUAAAGGGUGCGCAGGCGGCCGGGUGUGUCAGAUGUGAAAUCCCGAGGCUUAACCUCGGAACUGCGUCUGAAACUACUCGGCUAGAGUAUUGGAGAGGGUAACGGAAUUCACGGUGUAGCAGUGAAAUGCGUAGAUAUCGGGAGGAACACCGGUGGCGAAGGCGGGUCUCUGGGCCGAUACUGACGCUGAGGAGCGAAAGCGUGGGGAGCGAACAGG
This 253-nucleotide ribosomal RNA is filed under the name uncultured bacterium. Its description in RNAcentral is "partial 16S ribosomal RNA". It matches the Rfam family "Bacterial small subunit ribosomal RNA", at positions 524 to 776 of the family's 1533-position model. The record is from RNAcentral.